This 32759-nucleotide long non-coding RNA is filed under the name Gallus gallus (chicken). Lineage: Eukaryota; Metazoa; Chordata; Aves; Galliformes; Phasianidae. The record is from RNAcentral.
UCCAAAUCCUGCCUUAUUCAGCAACAGCAUAGUUUUUCAAAAAUGCCAACCUGCAAGUGAACAACACUUAGUAGUCUGCUGAAUUAUGAGAGUGCUCUUGAAAAUCUCGUGCCAUAGUAAGGAAGUUCAGAAAGACAUCUCAAGUGAGGACAGCCCUUAAGGGUUUAUGUCCAUUUCUGAAUCAAGUCUGUAAGUGUUACUUCCAUGACAAAUUGAUUUUCACAAAGCUUAGGGACAGGAUUUAAAAAUUUAAAAACAAUUAAAUGUUCUCUUGAAUUAGAGCCCAGCUUAGCAGGAGGAAACAGCUGAAGCAGAUAAGAUAAAUUCAUCGAGAAUGUCUAGAAAUCGUUCUGGGAGUAACGUGAGUGGAAAUUGGGAAGACAAGCUUAAAUUAAAAAGGAUUGAUUUAAAAUCUAGAAAAAGUGUGCUAAUUCAGGUGUUUUCUUUAUCUUUUCUCAUGCAUCAUGAAUGACUGUUUAAAACAAAGGCAAAUAUAUGUGUAUAGGAAAUAUACAGGUCCUGAGGACAGAGAGCAUUAUGCAUUUCUCCUUGGAAAAUAAGCUUCUUGAGGCAGGAAUAACUAUCAGAGUAACAGAGUAGUAGUGCUCUCUAUUUAAAACUUUCUUACUUAUUAAUCACCCAGGUCAGGACAAGCUAUCUUCUCUCAAAGUUUAAGCUUUCACAGUUCAUGAAAAUGUGAAGUUAGUCAUGCAAAAUAAUUCUGUCACCACUCUGUAACAAAUCUUUAAGGUUUAUUGAACACAUUUGAAAGUAUUCCAGGAGAACAGCUGCAUAGGAUUAAUCAUUCUCAGGGCAAAAGCUGGAUUUUUCAGACAUUUGCAUGCACUUCACAGUCUCUCAGAAAAAUAGCCUGUUCCUAUUUAAAAGCUGAAACAAGUCAGCAGUUAUUUUUAACAAAUUUGUUGUCUUGACUAAGCAAUCUACUCAGAAACCUUUGGCAAACUUUGAGUUGCAACUAAGCCUUUUUGGAUACGGGCUUUCAUUAAAUUCCAGCCCCAGAGCAGGACCUGCUGAUGGAUGUCCAGUCCCCACGUGCAGUCAGGCUGGGGUCAGGCCCUGCUCUUCGUUUGGCAGUUGGUGUCUCAAAGCCUCCACAGCCAGCUGCUUUCAUGGUGUUUCAUGGUGCGUGGUGGUCACCUCACCUGGGGUGGGUGAGGUUAUCACUACUUACCUUAUGCUGAUGGCAUGAAUUUAACAGAUGUCUGCAGUCUCCUGGGUUAUUGAGUAUAUCCAAGUUCAUACACAUGCCAAAAAUAACAGAAGCUGUAAUUUGAUUUUAUCUCAUCUGGUUUUAUUUUCUUUAAGCAAAGGGAAGCAAAUAAAUAACUUACGAUAUAAGGAAAUUAUUUCUUUGGAGAUAUUUCAUGGUCCAAAUCACCUGCUGGUUUGCCCAUCCAGCCUAGGAUGAGAGUGUUGUUAUCGUUUUCCAUAGCAAUAGUUGUAUCAGUCUUAGUUGAUAGGAACGCUGAAAUCUAUGGGGCAAAAUCUUUGAUGAAACAGCAGCCUUUGCUUUGUGGAAGCAUUUUUCUGCAAGUUAGUGAUUCCUCCUGAUGUAUUAACAUCAGUUAGAAUUUUCAUUUAAAAUCUAGAACAUUAAUUACCAUUAGCUGGGAACAGCUCCAUGAAAAAACAGAUCAGAAAGAGAACUCGGAGUGUUCUGGACAGUGGGUCUGGACUGUUUUCGUGGAAAAUUUUUCAGAAGGUUUCUGAAGAAGCACAGAGGUCACCAGCUGGCAGGCUGCUCUACUGAAUUGUGCAGCAAUAACAGUGAACAGUAAAUGACCCAACAAGGACAUGCUGAUCAGCUGCUGAUGACAUGGUCUGUUAUUUUGUACUGUAGGUAACUUCAAGGAUAUUCAAAAUAGAAUUUAUUUUUUUAUUUUUUAUUUUUAUUUUUUUGGCAAUACAGGCCAGAAACCUAGAAUUCUGGUCUAUAUCCUUAAUCAUUAACUAUGGAAUGUGAUGUACUUUUCCAGCUUUCUUCGAAGUUCAGGCAAAAGAAAAAUGCAUGAGUAAGAAAACUGUGUGUGUGCAUUGCUCAAGUGAGCCUGCUAGACUUUUCUAACCAGAAUCCUAGAACAGCAAGAGAUCACAUUCGAAUAAUUGAAUGUCUUGCAUGCCAUCCCAGUGAUUUGUGGGAUUCAGUAACUGCAGCGCAUCUGGUGCCAGACAGCAUGUGCAUUUUCAGAGUAUUUCUCUGGAUAAGAGCGAUCCAGCUGUCAAAUAAUGGAUCUGCAGAACAGAAAGAUAAGCAUUAUGCAGAUGUAUGAAGCUCUCGUCAGAUUUCUGAAAGAGCAAAGUUUUGUCUUGUUUAUGGAAAAGCAAAGUUUAAAAGGAAUUCAUUAAAAAUAAGCCAACAACACAAAACAGCCAGCACUAAUUUUUUAGGACGAAAAUAACGUAAUCAUGGCAGGGGAUAAGGCAAAUACUAAGCAGGAGACAACUGCAUAGUUUUAGGAGUUUAGAACUGAGCUGAAACAGGGUUGCAUGCAACCACAUACAAACAAAUAAAUUAUUAAAGUCUGUUGCUGCAAUUACUCAGAUGCUCAGUAGAGUGAAUUAAAACUUGCCUGCAAAGAACUAAACCAGAAUCCUUUAACUCUAUUACUGCUGUUUAUAAGCUUGCUCAUUGCUUAUGGUUUAUAUGUCUGGAAAAGGGAUAAUGUUUUAUCUGCUACAUGAAAUUUGCUUCUGAAGUGUAUUAAAUCAUUGACAACAAAGCAUACCAAUCUAAUUGUUACUAAGUUUUUUAAAGUCAUUCACUCAAUGAAAAGUGAUGUUCUGCUGUCCAACAUCAAACUCUUGAUAGCCAGAGUUUUGAGUAGUAUCAUCAUUAUACCUCUGCAGCUCACUAUCAGAAUGGUGCCAAUAGAGACUAAGGAUAUUUUAGCCAGCACAAUUUAUGUGAAGGAGUGACAAAUGUUAAUGUUCAUUCUGACAUAGUAAUUUUUCUUUGCUAGAACUUAAAGUAAUUUUUAAUGGCAGCUACGUAUAUGUUAAGUGCUUGGGGAUAAGGAGGCUGGUCACAGGGCCAGUGCAACAGUGAAAAUCUCUUGAUAGGUAACUCUUUACAUGCUGUACUUGCAGCAAAGAUGUGUGCACGUCUGUGUGUAUGAUAGGCAUUUCAUGAAGAACUGAGUACACUGAUCUUUCAAAAUACUGUUCCAUAUGUGGAAUGUAUAUCUGUAUCUAGUGGAGCCUUUAUUCAUUUAUUUAUAUCGUUUCCAAUUGCUUUACAAACCAACCCUGGUUUUGUUUUGUUUGGUUGUGGAAGCCUUUUGUCUUGUUGAUUUUGGAGUGCUGCCUAUUUAUAAAAAACAAAACAGAAAAUCUGAAUGUCAGCACCAAUAUGAUUGACCAAAAGCUAUGCUUUUGUUCUCCAAAAUACAGUCGUCUAUUCCUUUGAGUCCUCUAGACUCCUCUUUAAUUAAAGGAAAUAGAAGGACAGACCAAAUGAUGAUUUAUCUCACAUACCCUGGAUACCUAUCUCAACAUGUGAGUGUUAGAUUACUCGGUUUUCUGGUUAAUGCAAAUUUAUUUAAAAUGUCGUUAGAUAAGGAAGUAGGUACGUGUGUUUGUGUAUAUAAAAAAGUAUCAUCUAUUCCAUUUUACCAUAGUAUUUAAGUGAUAGUUUUGGAAUAAGUGAGUUAAAUGGCCUUUGGCAGGAGGGUUGGAACUUGAUGAUCCUUCCGACAAAAGCCAUUCUGUGAUUCUAUAAAUGUCUGUGCUGGGCUGGAGGACAAGUGAGUAGAGUAUAGUGUGUGUGUAUGUAUAUAUAUAUAUAUAUAUAUAUUCUUUUUAUAAAAUUUGUGAAAAUUUGUGAACAAAAAGGAGUUGAGGUAGAAAUCUUGUGAUCCCAUAGUUCUUGUUUUGUUUUUUUGUUGUACCUUGAGCUAUUAUUGGAAUCUUUGCUUUAUGGCAGGAUUUAUUUUCAGAGAGAUGAGUGACUGCUGGAAGACAAAGCUGGUUUCACAACACCCUGCUUCUAUUUCUCAUUUCACGAAAGUCCUUUAGCAUGACCUUGGGUGAAAUACAUCAUCUCAGAUGUCCAAAGAGUUAGCUCUGACGGUCUCUGGAGGAAUUUGAGAAGUGUGAAGGUUGGAAAUGAAUCAGUUAUGCAUCAGCUACAUUUUAUACUCUUGUCCUGAGAGUAAAGCAGUUAUGGACUGGGCUCCUGGUUCCAGAAUGACAGGUAAUACCUGUAGCUAAAUCACAUCAGUGUAGUAAGCUUGCAUGGGAAUAAGAAAUCAAGCACCUUACCUGAGAUCUCUGAUGUAUUUGCUGGAAACUUUUGGAAACAAAAACUUUAGCUGGGCUAUGAUUUUAUUUUUUUAACAAAAAAUAAGAGGUUAGUUAAAAUGUUAUUUCUGUCCCUUUGCUGCAUUAUAUUUUAUCCCAUUCUUAAAAACUGGCAAGCAAAGACUAUGAACACUGCUGUUUGAUAGUGUUAGAAAGUCAAGCUCUAGCAGCAGUAUUGUCUCUUCCCUUGUGUCACUCUUUGCUGCUGUCAAAAUAAUAACGUGCACAUUUAAAUCAUUCUGGAUCAUAUUGAUGUUCUGUAGGCUCAAGCCCUUGUGAAACAAAGUGAAGAGUUCUUGUUUGUAAUGGGCUCUGUGCAGCUAAACUUUCUUUGCCGAGUUCAUCUGUCAACUGCCACUUACACUCACAGCUGUUCUUUGAGGACACUGAAUUGCUUGCUGCCUGAUUUGUUUUUACCCUUUUGUGACACAAAUGAGUUCGUGGCUGUGUGUCUUACCUGUGAUUUUCCAAAUGGCAAAUGCAACACUUCAGUUUGUAAUUUAAGGUCUAGUGGGCAAGAAGCUUGGUGAAAAUGAGCACAAUAACAGCUGCUAUUCAGUACUAGCGUUUCGUUUCAAAGAAAUACACUGAAUUUAUCUACACAAUUUCUUUCUAGUGAUGUGUUCCAAAUAUGCAAUGGAGACAUCUUGGGAAUGUUUAUGAAGAGCUCAGUGCAAAUUUCACACUACCACACAUAUGCACAGUUGCACAAGGGAAGAGUAUUGCUCUAUUUCUUCCCCAUUACAAAAGGAAGGGAGAGUAAAUAUUCUGAUGCCAUUAUACAAGCCAGCGCUGUGUGCUUUUCUGAAGUACUGUGUUUAGUCUUGCUUUAUAUAAUUUUUAUUUUUUAUUUUUUCACUUACUUGAAGGUUGUGGUUAGGAAGUUUCUUUAUACGAAACUAUAUUUCAUGACAGUCCUGGGUUAAUAGCUAAAAACAUGACUAAGACUAGUAUAGUAUUAGCAAAUCUUAGGUGCCUUUCUAUUCACUAUGAGUUCCUGAUUCCUUUCUUCCUGUGAUACGUUUAUGCAGCAAGUUGCUGUUGCCCUUACAGAAUGCUUCUUUUCUACUGUCUCCUUAUAUUUUCAUAUUUUGUUUUAAAAACUGAAGGAACAGAUUUAGCAAAUAGAGAUGCAUGUAUCUUGUUAAAAAGACAAUCAAUACACUAGAGGUAAUGAUUUUACUGGGAAAUUUAAUGUACAAAAUAACCAUUUUGUCCAAUUGUGUAGUCUGAAAACACAAUUUUUGUCUGUGAAAAGGGGAAAUUGCAAAUAAGCUGGUAUAUUUUCUUAUGUCAGUAAAUGAACACAGUAAAAUUGUUUCCAUGGCAGAAUGGUGAGAAAAAAAAAAAAAAAAAGACUGACACAAACCCUCAUUUUUAUUUCUCUGGAAUGAUCAUGGUAAACUAUCUUAAUCUAUACUGUGGUUAAUACUGGAUUAUGCUGUCAGGUUUGAGAAACUGGAAAGUGUGAAUACUGGAAAAUAUGGCUCAACGCCAGAGAAAGCAAACACCAUGAGUGUCCUCCAGGAACCCUGUCAGACUCCCAAGUUCUUAGUUUGAAGUUGGUUUUUGUUUUCAGAUGUAAUGCCUUUUACGGUGACAAAUUCUUAGCAGUAAAACAAAACCAGCCCAUUCAGUAGUGGGAAAAUUUUUUCAUAAUGAUUACGUUAGAUUCUCCCAUGACUUGUUGGUCUUAAGGCCAGUUAAGUUGUGAAGAUCAGUGUUUAUCUCAGUUGGUAGGGAAGGAUGUGGUUUGCCCAUUAUUGUCCCCUUAAUCAUUCCCCAUCACCACUGUAUUUUGUGUUGUCUUAGUUUUAUAAUUUCUUGGAAGUGACAACCUAGGUGUGGCUGGAAUUUCUUGUCCCAGGAAGGAUUCUUCACAGCCAGCUGAGGCUGCACUAUACUGCCUAAAACCUAUUUAUUGUCACAUUUAAGAUAAUGAACAUAAGAAAGAAGACUGGCCAGCAAUCAGUUUGGCAGGUCUUGCUUCAUAUUUGUUGUAAAGUCUAGGAUCUGAGUGCUUUAUCCAUGUAGUUUGUCUGUUGUAACCGAUUGAUUCAGGGUGUUCCUAUGUGUGUGUAUAUAUAUAUGAACGUGUGUGUGUGUAUAUAUAUGUAUAGAUAUUCUUAUAUAUAAUGUAUAAGAAUAAUAAGAAGAAUCUCAAAAUAAGAGUGAUGCUAGAUUGAUUGUUCCUCUGAUUUUAGUCUUCUAGGAAGAGUAGUUGCAUGAUCUGUGCAGGAAAGCCAGUGUUUCCCUUCACUAUCUCCUCUGCAAACAGAAGAAAAGUCAGCCUAUGUUGUUACUGCUUUUCCACCAUUGCUGGUAGGUAGGAGCAGAAAGUUUUUGCAAAACAUCUGUAGUUAAGUUAGUACAGCAAGAAAUGAGUAGAAAAGAAACCAUGUGCCUGCAAAAAGAUUGGUAGGGCUUACUUGUCCAUCUAUAAGCAUAACCUGUGUAUUGUACAUCUUGGAAUCAGAAUCUGAUUGCUGUUCUGUUAAACUGGAGCUUAAGAAGAAAAAAUGUUUUUUGAUGUAACGCCUGUAAAGUCCAGGGUGACUGUAUUAUUAGUCAUUACUAGACAUAAUCUUCCAAGUAGACUUAAUCUUCACUAUUAGCAUCUUAUGUCUGCAGGUGGUAGUCCAACUUUUAUACCUCUAAGUAGGAAAUGCUUAUUGACCUUGACUAACAGAAGUGUACCACAAACAAGUUGCGGUGCUCCUUUAUAGGACCUGUACUGAAUCUGGGGCGUGGAUUAUCUCCCACUCAUCAUCAGUCCAAGUAGGUUACUGAGGCUGGGAAUUGCCUUGGACCAUGUCCUGUAAUCUCAUGACAACAACAGAAAACCUGUCAAUCCCAAAAACUAUUGAAAAAGGACUUCUCAAAGCAAUCUAUGGUUUUUCCUCCAGCAUAUUCGCCUGCCAACCAACACAGCCUCUGUUUAAGAUGUUUCCAAACAAGCUUUUCAUGUUUAUUAGACUUAGAGAAGAGAUCAUGCUGUACAGCUACUGAUUUUCUUUCUUGGCUCUCAGUGGUAAUUCCAUCUCUCCUAGCAGGCUGCUCAGUCUUAGAAAGUAUUUCUUUAAUGUUUCUACUCCCACUCAGAUUUUUAAGAGAUGUCUAAAGCUGUAGCUGCUCCAAAGGAUGAGUAAGACCAUGACUCUGUUGGUUGGCUGGACUUUUUAAUGUACUCCAUGUAGAAGUAAGAAAAACAUUAAAAUGUGCUUUAGUGUUGACAAGCUUAGCUAGCAAGGAGAGCAAGAUUGGGCUGUAUGAAUUCCUUGGAGGUCUACAAAGAACCAAACAAAAACCUUCUGGAGAAAAAUAACUUUGCUAUAUUUGUUGUUGUUUUGUCACUUCUGUUGUGCACAAACUGAAGAAUGUGAGAUAGUGGGGAAAUGCUGGGUGAGAUAGACUUCUGAGAUAAGUGGUGAAGAGUUGGGUAUAUUUUUGCUGUAAUGCCACCAUAUGUACCACUGCCACUGGGAAGGCCGUGUCCCAGGCACUUUGCACCCCUGUUACCUCAAGUAGCCAGCCAGUGUAGGAAAGAGAACUGAUACUUAGAAUGGGAUGAGAUUUCUGUACAAAUCGUGAGAUAGGAAAAAGAAGGAAAAAAUCAGAGAACAUGGCUAAUCACAGUGCUUUUCUCAGUGCUAAAGUUGUGUUUCAGCCUUUGCAUCUCAAGCAUACACUCACAUUCAAUUACAGUUGAAUUUUUAUUUCAGAUGCUACUCUGCUAUUUCAUCUGACUUGCUGAGAGCCACUGUUAAUAUGGGGGUUUAGUAAAAGAGAAGUGACCUUUAAACCUUGCUUACAGGAAUAAUUAUUAUCAAGAUUUCUGUUUAUUUAUAAUUCUGGACCACAGUGUUCAUGACGUUUCUCUGGCUUUUUUGAUCUGUUGGCCUAAGAUGGAAGGAGAACAAAUUAUUCUGGAUUAUUUCUAUGCAGAGCAGCAACCAUUUCACUCCUCUAAAGGCUCCCUAGAGAUAUUUUGCCACAUAAGCUUUAUUCUGUGUGACCCCAUUCAAGGUGUAAACUAAAUAUAUAAUGAAUUAAUAAGUAUAAUUAAUCUUUUUUGAUUCUUGGGAAUGAGAUUUCCUUCUCUCUACCUCACUGUUUAUGCCUCCUUUUUAUGCAUAAAGCUGUAUCACGUAGGUAUUUCUGUGAAGGAGCGGGGCCAUAUGUGUCAAAGAGAGGGCUCAGCAAGAGCAAGAGAAUCAGGCUGCUGUAAGUUCACUCCAGACACAGCCAGUUAGUCCCUGUUAAAUAAAUCUCUAACUAUGGAGACAAUGAGGAAUUCUGUGGGAGAAAAAAAACCUCUUUCAGCUGUGCCUCAAUUCCUGCAGAGAGGAGGAUUUAAUGCUUUCAAUGGGAAGGUCACCAACUAUAUUUCCCUAAGUGAAUACAUCAGCUGGUUUGGAAGAUAACACUUCACUAGUUGUUAGUGAUUGUUCUCCUUGCAGGACUAGCUAUUAUAUAGAGCUCAGCUUGUUCUUCAGUUAGAUCUAAUUAGUUCAUGUUCAUUCUAUGUCCUACUCACCAGUGUGUUAACUUACAGCCCUGAUUCAUUAAAGUCAUAAUUGGUCAUCAUAUUUAUUUAACUGAUAAGUUAUUUUCCAUAGUAAGUGAAUAUACUUAGCUAGUAUUGGCAGAAAAAUUGUUAAUCUAAUUAAAGUGACACACAUCUGAGGCUUACAGGCUUAGUAGGAUUGUGUAAUGGAUUAAGGAGUAAGGUCUUUUAAAGCAUACUGCUAACCUUGGUCACACUCGUUUCUACAGUGUAACCUCCUUUUUAUCAGAUGAAAAUAUCAAAAACAAACAUACCCGCAGAUCAGAAUUACUAGCCCAGGCAAACUGCAGCUAACUUCUUUUAACAUAGAUAAGAAAAACUGUUUUAAUAUUUUAUGUCAGUAUUGGCCAUAGGCUGCUUAUUCCUUUGUUUAAUGUGUAUGAACAUUUUUCCUCUUGUUUCUCUCGGAGUGCUGGAUUUUACUGUCACUUUCAUGAAGAAAGUUAUUUUUAUUUAUUGAGUACUUUAUAUAGAAACAGGAUAUUUAUACUUAGUUAAAUAAAAACUUCAGAUAUCUAUAUCUGUGGAAAUAAAAUAUGCAUGCCUUGUAUUACAACAAUCACUGUUUUGAUGUGUGUAAUAUAAACACUGGAGCUUUAUGCAAUGAAAAAAGAAAUAUUAAGAUACUUAAUUUUAUUUUGCAGCUUGCAUUUUAAUUUUUAUGGUGAGUUGCUCUUCUCAGAAGGAAAACAGUGGAAAUCAGAUGGCAUGGUUCCUCAAGGCCUGCCAUAAUUGCAAUACUCACUUUAUUUUGUUGCAGUGCUGCAGCAGGAGCAUGUUUUAAAGAAACAUUGGCCUAGACUUUUCUCAUCAAAAAGCACCACCUAGUGUUAGUUAUUCACAGUUUGGCUGAAAAUACAAAGAAAAAUGAAAAAAAAUUAAUAAUCAGAAUUUGACUUAAAAAUAAAUAAAAAUAAUGACAGCGGCUGAACAAGUUGCAGUUGGUUCAUGGGACUAGUGUUGUAUAAAGCUAUAGGUGUACAGUAACAGGGCAACUCUAGGGUUGUCCCAAAAUGUUUUGAAUCAGAUCUCACCAUUACAUAUUUUUGAUGUCUAGCAUUUCAGUGUGGGCAGAAAUCUUUCUUUGUGACCUAGGUUUAGGUGAGGUGAAAACGAACAUUAGGGAUUUGCUGUAGAAAGGGGAUAUUUCCUUUCUUAUAGCUCAUGUGGCUGUGGUUAGGACUGCGCAGGAUGGGGUAUCUGGAUCUCUCCCCCGCCUCAGUGAGCAUUUUAUACACAUCCCUGUGAAGCAUUUCAUGCAGAGUAUAAGAGUUUCAGCAGAGACUACUGAGAAAGAGUUGUCAUUGUGUUCCCUGUAACCCCUCUAGCCUGGGGGUUAGAACAGCCUCUCUGAUGUGGGUGAAGGCUCUUUGUCAGGAUUUAGCUAACAGGGAAAACAGGCAACUUUCUGCUGACAGAGCUCUCAGGUUAAGUGAAUGAUUCUCAGAGUUGCAAAGAACUCAUCUCACUAGAAGCUCUGGAUGUAAUAUCUCAUGAUGAAUUGUUAAUACAUAAAGCAUGUACUGGUGGCUGGUGUAAGGAAAGGUCUUAAACACCCAAUAACAAACACAUCAUACUUAUUUCCUUUGGGAAAAUGACAGGACUGUGUUUGAAUUUUAGCUGGCAGAAGGAUGGGAUAGUAUUUAACUUGCCUGAUGUGUUUUGAAUCUAUAAUAUUUAAUAUAUAGCAGAAUUUUAAUUUGCAGGCCGUGGGGACCAAACAGAUAUAUAGCAAUGAUGGCAAAGAAUCUAAUCUAAAACUCAUUGGGAAUCUAGGAAACAUUUUCAGCAACUGCUGGAGAGUUUGGAUCUGUCCAAAAUUAAUCUGUUUGAUUAAGUAAAGUAAACCAUGUUCUGAAGAAAUCAGAGACGCAUAAAGAAAGCGCUGGCUCGUAGCCAGGGAAGCCUUAGCAGAAUUCUGCAGAGAAUUUAUAUCUUGUCAAGUUGAAAUGAAGUCUAAAGUUUUAGAGAACCAGAGAGUUAUUUUUCAUACACGGCAAGAUUUUGGUUCUAGAGAAAAAAGAUGGAAUGAACUGACAAAUGUUCUAUAGAAUCCCAACACAAUAAAUGAACAAAACAAAAGAGAACUGAAAAGAAAUGAAAUACAAUGGUUUGAGAACCAGAGACAGGAGAGGUGUGAAAAGCAUCUGAAUCAUGGAGGAAAGUCUGAAGAGUGACGAAAGUUUGUGAUUUACUGAUAACAGUGAAAUUCAAAUUGAUUGGAGACAGUAGUGAUGAGUUGGUUGUUAUUUUUAAGUUUUCUGUGAUAACUGUUGCUUUUGAAUCAUACAGUUUAGAGCUGUAAAACUUCAGAUGCACUGAGCAUGUAACAGACUAGUUGAAAAAACACAUGAAAACAAGUUUAUUGUUUUGGACGAAAACAAAAUGGAACCACAGCACUAAAAUGUGAUGUUUCCAUUAAGUUUAGUUUAUUUGUUUUAUAGUGAAAUGUUAUCUUUUAGGGAAGAGGAGAAAAUGGAGUAAUGUUCUUUUCUAGUAAAGUUUUGUAUCUGCUGCUAAUCCAUACUUUAUUAAGCUGAAAGAUUCAUUAACUGCCUCUUGGAGCAGUUUUUGGAGCUGUUCCUGAAACGUUAAACUUGAACAGUACAACAUGGCCAUGUUUUCAAUUUUGGUGAGUUGAGCCUCGAUCUCCCAAUUAGAGCAGCUUCCUUAGCUCUCCUGCUACAGAAAUCAAAAGGUUGCAUCACAAUCGUAGAUGUCUUUAAAUUUUAGUUUGUUUCCAACAUAGCAAAAAAGACCUUAAAACAUACGAGCUUUAAACACGUGAACUCAGAAGAUAUAUGGAAUACCUGUCCCAAAACUGUCAUUAUAUUUAAGACGAUUUCAUGAUUUUUUUAGCUGUAUGUAUGUUCUUGGAAUAUUGGGGUCGUUUAAUGUGUGCAGGUGGAAGAAAAAUUACAGUAUGCUUUCUGCUUGCCUGGAAGCUCCAUUCUUGCAGUUGAAUUUUAUAUAUAUACAUGCAUACUUACUACUGAUUUACUAUCACUAGACAAAUUUAUUAUCAGAGUUCUUUGAUAUCUUUAUCUAUAAAUUAUUAAAAUAUUAUUAUUAUUAAAAUAUCUAUUUUUCCGUUCUCGUAGAAAGAGUCCAUGGACCUUAUAGAUGCUUGAUAGCCCAGAUUGAAAACUACGGGUUUAAAUGUAAAUGUUUGCGGUUACAUAAUAUGAACAGCAGAUGGCAGUAGAAGGACGUUGGAAACAUUUCCCUUCAUAUGCUAUUCUGCUUUUGAUUCCGUACGCUGGGAAAGUGAAGGCCGAUAAAACUGCUUUGUCUCAGUUGUCUAAAAAUGUUGAUUAGAAGGAAUAGAUAUUCCAGCCAGUGAAGCAUGAUCUUCUAUUGAGGAAGGCUCAGGAUUUCAUGGAUAGUAGGUUUUGAGAAGAGUUGAAUUAGAAAUUGUCUCAGCUGUCUGUUUAAACUUGCAGAUGCAAAAAUAAGAUUUGUAAUGCAUUAGUAGCUGUAUUAAUAUUAGUGAGAGACUGCAGACCCUGUUAGCCACAGUGUCAGGAAAAAAUGAAACAAAUGAAACAAUAGUAGCAUGUCUGCUCUGUGCAUGGGAGUACUGUGAAGAGGUGCCUGAUCUGGCACUGCCCAGGCUGCACAAAGUAAAUGACACAGGCUGUAUGUGGGUCGCUCUGAAAGUAAUGCCUCCUAUUCAUUUCCAUCAAAACUACAACAAAUAUAAAGAGCACAGUAGUGCUAUUUGAUAGAGAAAAUUCUCAGCUACAAAACAGUGUUUUUCAACAGUCACCACCGUUAGCCGGUUUGCAUAGAUAAGCUGAUCAAGAGACAUUGUUCAUUUUGUGGUAUGACAUCUGUGCAUGGACAUCCAAAAUGUGGUUUGUCUUUCACAUUGCUGUUGCUACUGCUGAAAUGCACCACCCACCACCUCACUGUGCUCGCAUCCACUGUUUGGUCUCCAGAAAUGUUCAGCAAGCAUUCAUGAAUGUCAAUUAAUGCAGUUUUUUCCUCAUGAAGGAAUUAAAUUCCACAUCUUUGCUAUACCCACACUUCCCCUCAUUUUGUCAGACUGCCCCUCUGCUGCCAUCAGUUGCACAGUGAUAAAAUGUGGUGGAAUAUUGGUGGGAAGAUUCAACCUCUACUGCCAUACCACCAACAUCCACCUGAGAUGAUGUGAGCCAAGAUAAGAAAAUAGGAGGCAUUAUUUUCGGAGCAGCCCUCACACAAUGGCAUCCGAUCAGUUGUGGAAGCAGCAGAUGUUAGCCUGGAAGGACUGAUGUCACUAGAGCAUUUCUGCAGAUUGGCUUCAUCUCACAGCAUUCUGCUGCACAGCAUGCAUGAAAUUUGCUGUGUGCUUGUGCUAGAGGAGCCUGGUAACUAGCAGCUAUCUGAAAGAAUUAGAUUCAUCUUCAGUCAACAAGAUGCUUUCUAUCAGUGAAAGUUUGAAAAAGACAAAGUGAUAUUUGCUAAGUUAUUCUCAACAUCCAGUUGGAAAAUGUUUUCUCAUUCAGUGCUGUUCUUUUCAUUUCAUGUUGCAAGAGAUGCUUCCUUAAAGAAAUGCAGAAGAGGUUGACAACCUCAUUUAAUUUUUGUUACAGCCGAAACAAUUCCACUGCCCCAGUUCCCAGCCUCAAGCCAAAAGUGAAAAAAUGUGUUUUUCUGUGCAUCCGAAUACAUUGUGGCUGCAGAUUUUAAUCAGUUGGAGUAAACACUAGCCUAAAAUUGUGUUCAGUAUUGAAAAAAUAAUCGGAUAGCUCCAAAGAACUAAGAGAUUAUUAUGAAGGUUUCAAUUAUGCUGAAUUUUGACCAUGAAUUAAUACAGUAGCUUUUGACAGAUGUAGUCAUACACUGAUGUAUGUGUCUGAAUGCAUAGACAUAAAUAUGCUAGUAUACACCUUGAUGUGGAGAGUACUGAUAUAUUAAUAGCAAACGUGAAAAGGUCUGCAAGGUGUUCAUAUAAAACUAGUAGCAAUGCCUAAUUGGCAACAUCUUUUCAAAGGAGACAUCUGGAGACAGUAGAAAGUUACCUUGACUCUAAAGCAGCAUUUAAGAUCUCUGUUUUACUUAACAGAUGGCAGACAGAAAGCUGUGUGAGUAAGCCUGAAUUGCAGUGCCUAGUAACCCGUUUUGUUACGUUUGGAAGACCUUGAUAGAGGUCUGAAAGCUCAUUUGAUGGCAGUGAGACUAGGUGAUGUCUUCGCUAAGGUAUAAUAGAGAAGACAUUUUUCAACAGCAAGUAACUAGGCCAAUUCUGAAUGUAGCCACUGGUGUACGGUUGAUGUACAACACUCUCUCCUUUCCAGAAAACUUUAUCUAGGCUAACCUCAAGCUGUAGGGACUUGCAUCUCUUAUAGUUGGUGUACUGCUUCAUAACUGCAUAGUGAGAAAGUGAAAUUCUUUUCUUUUAUUUCCAUUGUAUUGAAUGCCAUAUUUGACUAGAGGAUGGAAACAGCUGACUUCUGAUCUCCAGUGAGCCAUUCCUUUUUCAUAAUUUAUUUUUCAUGUUAAACAGUCACUUUUGGUGCAUAAGGAAUGAGAAGAGCCAAAGAAAGCAAGCCCCUUGUCUUUUUUGUUUUGUUUUGUUUUGUUUUCAUUAAAUCAAGUGCUUCUUGACAGUUCUGCACAGAAACUUAUUACAUUCACCAUUCUUUAUUUUUUCCACCUGGCUGUAAUAGAAUUGAUAUUGAGGUGCUUAGGGACUGAAUAGGGAGAAGAAGUAAAACCUGAUUUGCUGCUCAACACUCCAUUUCCACUUUGAUUUAUCACACUGGUUUUACUCUUUCUAGCAUGAGCAAAGCUGGGUCUGCUAAUUGAUUAUUGUCAAAGGUUUAAUAUUUUUUGAAGCCACUGUUACUAGAUGGAUCUAUUAUCCUUGUGGCAGAGAAAUGUAUGCUCUAAAUUGUUGGUAAUCUUUAUUAAAUGUGAACAACUGUCUUCAGUUUGAGGAGCAGUAGCACUAGGCAUGGAAUGAUCCCAUAAUAAUGGAAAAAAGGAAAUUAUGGGAUCAUUCUAUGGCUAGUGCUACUGCUUGAACAAUUAGAAAAGUUGUGUAGCUGUUUAGGAGACUUCAUUUAAUUUAAAAAAAAUAAGGAGGUAAUUCUUCCCUUUUGUACAAAAAAAAAAAAAAAAAAAAAAAAGAAAGGCUAAUCUUUCCAUGUUCCACUCAACAGCUUCCCACAUUCAAGACUGUCACCACUGCCUUUUGGUAUCUUUCAUUACUGUCAUAGCAUAUAGGUAGUCUGAAUAGCAAGGGUUAUCUUCUGCCUUUUCUUUAUUUUUAUUCUCUGUUUCUUAUUCUGAGUUCUGCAUUAAUGUGUCCACAGCUCUGGGCAACGUCAUGGGCCUGCUAGAUGAUAAGAAAGGGCAUUGGAGUCAUAGCAAAUGAGACAAUUCAGUAUAAAACCUAAUGAAAAGAAACAGAGAUGGACAAACAAUAAUUUCAUGAAACAGUUUUGCAUUCAGUGUUCCUUCAGAUCAAUGUUCUCUUUGGUCUGCUUUUGAGUUUCAUUGACCUCUGUUGGAUCAAUAGUCUGACAAAGACAUGUACAAGCUAACACAUCUACAAAAGCAAGCUAACCAAAAUGCUCCAGAGCACAGCAAACUCAACACAGUAUUCUUGCCCUUAAUAUCUGAAUUUGCAAGGUCCUCUUUUCAUUUAAAAGACUGCAUUGACAUUAUUUUGGCAAUAUGAAGAUCUGAAAAACUUUUAUAAGCAUUUGCUGCUCCAGUCAUGGUCAUCAUCAAUAAUAGGUAUUGCUUCUGUUUUAUAGAUGGUGAAAAACAUGUGAUUUAAGACCCUUUCUAAGGCUGCAUUAUGUAAUUGCAAAGCCAGGCCAGAACAUCAUAUACCUAACACAAGUAACUUUUUAUUUAUAUAAUAACUGUCCAUUUCUCACAGUAUAUCUUCUAUUUUAAGUAAUUCCAAUGAUAUCAGUAGCUUGGUGUUAUAAUUAAGGAGGUAUUAAAGUACAGAAAAAAAUCGGUUUGCAACAUGUAUUUUUAUUUUCUCUGUCAUUUUGUCUCUAUUUGGUGUAAAAAGUCUUUAUUUUGUACCAACUGUACCCCAGACCAUAAUGAAUCAUGAAAUUUCUAAACCACGACAACAGGAAUCUGAAUGGCCCACUCAGCCUUGUUAGUUUGAGUAUAAUAGUUUAAGUAAGAACUUCUUUGCAUAACUAGAAGAAAAUAUGAAAAAUUAUAUAAACAUGUAAGAUAUGUUUGAGUUAGCCUCUGAUGAAAAAAAGGGAAAUAAAAGACCAUAUGUAUUUUCUCAAACUCCUUGAAGAGAGCAUAGUUACUGCUUAUCUGCAAUUUACCAAAUAGGGGAAGGGAGAUUAACCUUUUCACAUCUGAAAAAUCUUUGUUUUUCCUCAAGAUUUUUCAUGCUGAUCCUUAUAUUUGCAUUUAGAAUAUGUUAGUUAACAAUUCAAGAUUUUAAUACUCAAAUAUGUUUACAUAUACAAUAUCAUUGUAGUAUCUUCACGGGAAAAAAUGCAUAUAACAUUUCUUCAAGCAGCCACCUUGACCAGUGCUUUAGAUAGUGUUAACUAGGUCAAGGCAGGAGUGUUUGCCUGUGCAGAACUAUUGGCCUCUGAAUAUCAGUGGGGGAAAAAAAAUAAAAAUUAAAAAAAUUAAAAAAAAAAAUUAAAAAAGCCUUUCUGUUGAUGACAAGGAAGGUGAAUUUGGGUGAAAGUUAUGAAUUCAGGUUACACUGCUAACAUAGCAAAUCCAAAUAGAGAUGGGUGGGCAGGUACCUUUGAGUGGAACGUGAGGUGUUCAUUAACUCCAUGGCAAGGUGGGUAUGAUAAAACCUGGCACAGAGCCUUGUAAGGGAUACCCCCUUAAAAAGCACAGGCCAGUGUCUCCCAUGCAAGGAGGGAAUGAUGGAGAUGUACCCUUUGAUACUCAGCAGUGCCUGAAGUAUCACUGUGAAAUACAGCUUGAUGUUAGCUCUGCAUUUCAGAUACUCACUUUGAAUUUUCUGCUAGAGGGAAAAAGUCAUAGCAGAUAUUCCUUCUGGAAUUGUGUGUUCCUUUCUUUAUCCUGUUUUCAUGUCUUAGCAUGGCAAGGACUUCCAAUAGUGCAGUUCUUUAAAACUCUGCCAUUUAAUGCUCUUAUUUGUCAUGCCCCCAGGGUGUUAGCCAUAAGCACGCUGGUUUCUCAAUAAUAAGUCUGAGAUUCUUCAUGCAUUUCUGCCAAACUCAGUUAAAAAUGGAUGAUAUUUAGAGCCUUGGACAGGUAAAUAGCUAUCAUUAUCAACUGGAAUGAAUCAAAAUGCCUUGAGGGAAUGAUUUUGCAUAUGUUUGCAUUAAAAUCUGAAGAUGUUAGAAUUAUUCAUGAUCUCUGUCAUGGAACUACAUGGAGGGUGCAUGUAUAUCUUUACUGUGUUAAGGUGGGUAACAUAAAUACUUUUGAAUGACUGAAGCUGAAAAGUCUACUCUAGCUAUUGUGACUUGUGUGUUUUGACAACUCAGCCCUUCCAGGAGCUUAGUGUUGUGUUAUCUAGCUUGGGAACUAUAUGGUAUUUUAUAAAGAAAUAACAAAUUAUUCCAAUUCUUAGUCAAACAAUUUUUAUGAAAAAUGUUACAUUUCUGAUAAUUGAAUAACAUUGCCAGCCGUUAGAUGUUAUUAAUUGGAUGAACAUUCUCAUUUUCUUAUUUAUGAUCAGCGACAUCACACCAUACGUAACACUGAAAUACAUUUGCAGUUUUCAUUAAUUAAAUAUUUACUAAGUUAGAUGGUUGGUUUGAGUUUUGGGUUUUUUUUUUUUUGCGGGGGUGGGGGAGGUUUUUUGUUUGUUUUGUUUUUGAAUAAUUGUUUACUUGUUUUUGUUUUGACCAAGACUACUGUGGAGGGGAAGAAAAAAAUCCUGCAAUAAAUUCUAUAUUUUGUAGCCAAUGACUUUUCUGUGUACCAAAAGAUUAAUUGUGCAGUUAGAUGAAAAGAAACUGAAAGGAAGAAUGAAAAAUGUAUAUCAAGAAUAGUCAGGUUAAUGUAUCCCGGAGCUAAAUUUCCAAUGUAAAACCAAUACUGUGCAUUGAUAGCACCUAAGACUAAUGCAUGUGCCAGAGAAAAUUAUAUUGCAAUAUGCCUUGAUUGCCAUCUGCUUGAUUUUAAUUAAUUUUCUUAAUUGGAGAACAAUGCAUUUUCUAAUUACACAUGAAAACACCACUAGCUAUUGCAGAGUCUUUAUCUACUGCACAAACUCUCUCAGUAGACCCACUGCCUGCCUAAUUUAUACAGACCUUGUUUCAGUGAGCACGAGCUGUUUGGCAGGCUCUUGACAAUUACUCAAACUAAUCACAUGUGAAGGAACAUUCUAAACUUGUAAUUUAGAUGCAAUAAAAUUCUAACUGUGAAUAACUCAGCUCAUACAGAUACCAGGGUGAAAUGUCCACUAGAAAUGUAAUUAGAAAGCAAUACAGUUGAAGCUAGAAUCAAAUUCCAAGUGAAAUGUAACAUCUGAAUAAGUGCUUUGGAGAUAAUAGAUGUGACCACAAGAAUGGAAAUUAGUUACCUUAGUUUAGACCAAAAAGGUAGUGUAAUAUAAAAUCAACACAGCAGGUGAAUAAUCAAAUAUUUAAGCCACACAAUCAAAACAUCAAUCCCAGGGGACAAAUUUAUUCUGCUUGUAGCUCAAUUGAGAUCUAACUUAGUUACAGCCAAAAUAAAAUUGGCUCACUGAUUUAAACUAGACUUUCUUCACAUUAAUGUCCCUGUUUUCUUCAACGUAAUGGAAUAAAUCCAUCAAGGUAUGUCUCUCUUGCAGCUUAAUCUUUUCUUGGAUAUUGUCCAUCACAGUUCAGUAAGGUACUCCUUCAGAGAUUUCUAUUUAUCUGGCUGAGGUUUGAGAGAGUCCUAAAUAAGAGCUUGGUCCUUAUCUGAGUUAUCACUUGCUUCCCUUUUGCAAGAUUAAUUUUAUGCCAGCUGUUUGCCUUUUUAUAAAAUGGGAUCCCAUUUAGCUUUAUUACUUGAAGCUGUCUUCAAGGGCAAACUGUAAAAAAUGGACAGUUCCCAGGCUGGGAAGAGGAGGCAGUGGUUCAAAGACAAAGAAUGGCAAAAAUUUCCUCUUCACCUUGGAGGAACAUACUUUGCAACACUGCAGGAAAAUAGUUCCCUUAUGAAUACAUGAUAUCUAGUUAUACUGAUGCAUUUUCUAUAUUGUCUUUGAGAACAAAUUUGCUAAGAGACAUCUUUCUAGAGUUCUGAAUUCUAUGCUGUAGUAAUGUCUGAUUUCAAUAGCUGUUCCUAAUUUUGGCAUUUUAAGGAAGAUACAAAUGUUUUACCACAUAUGUUAGCAUUUCCCAAUAGAGAAAUUUCAGUCAACAUAAAUAUCGUACUUGAAUAUGUAAACAUGAAAAUGAGGCUACUGAUAAACUUUAUACUUCUGAAAAGACAGUUGUUUGUUAAUUAACAUGCAAUAACUUUCACUGAGUGUAUAAUAGUACAUCUACUAGCAGUGUUUAUUGUACAUCAUUAAAACCAGCUAGAUCAAUAACUAUGUUUUUCAGUUUCUUAGCUGUGUAAGAAGAUAUGAAUCUAAAAUGGGGCAUCCCUAAAGAUGUUUUAUCAAUCAUUAAGAAUUUUUUUAAUUUAAAAAUUCUAAUCAUCUUUUAAACUUCGGCAUAAAUCCUUUUAGAGGCACCAGACUGGGUUUACUUCAUGUUUCUGCAUGUUUCUUUACUGAAAGCAAUCAAGUUGCCUAGUAUCGCUUUGACUAUUAUGCUACAGCUGCACAGAAAAGUAUGGCCGAGUUCCUCUGUGUGGCUGCUUAUAAAAGAUAAAUUUUAAGGCUUACUGAUGAAUAAUCACACCUCUUUAUGUUUUUUUUUUUUUUCAUUUUUAGUUAGUGGCUAGAAAUUCCAGGUUCCCUUGGCAGCUUUACCAAUGCUCCUUAUUCUCAUCCCAUGAAUGUUCCAUUUUAACUCUAUUGUUCAUGUAAAUACUGGUGACGUAAUUUUCUAAAGAGUGAGACCUGUUUCCAAAUCAGAAAUAUUUCCAACGAUCAAACAGCAAAAACUGUUUUAUGUAGUAUUUCUGUUCAUGAAGUAUAGAAGCAACUCAGGAGGAUUUAUUACCCUAGUUCUAAUCAUGUGCCUCGUGCACCACCAAGAACUGGGAAGAUACUCAAACUCUCUCUUCUCUACUAACUAAAGAUUUCAGUCCAAGUGUAUUACAUGCAAGUUAAAGAAGGCUUUAGUGGGACUCUGUUAGCUGAUUUAAAUGUUCAUUAGAAAUUAUCAUGCCUCAUUUGACUUACUGUUAAUAUAAGUUUCAAUUAGUUGAUAACAUUUAAACAAAAAUUUUAAAUAUAUAAGAAAUUGACUUCCUUCAUUUUUCCAGUAUAAUCUCAGUCAGUCCAACUCCUCCAUAUGGAGCACAGCUCCAUGGACAUCUUCUCUGUAGCUCUUUUUCUGCCCUGAGUACACGCUUUCAGAUCUGUAGCUUCUGUACCAACAUGCCUCAGCAACUGCUGGCCAAAGGUGGCAGUCCUGCCUCCUACCUUGCCUGAGCUUUGCCACUUUCUUGGUAGGCAAAGAGUGAAUGCUGAAGUUUUGCCACGUCUGUUGUGAGGGAGUCUGGAAGCUCUGUUAGUCUGACUCCCUUAUGUGCUCUGCUGCAUUGGUGUAAUAGACUAUAUACGUAGCAACAGAAGGAGAGUUUUUAACCUAUUAAGCCUACCUUGACAACAUCCCUUAGCAAAAUAAUUUCUGCUUACCACUGAGGCAAUUCUACACUAUCAAGAAGUGCCAAGCCUGAAUAUCACAUCGGGAAAAGAACUUUAUAUGAGAAGGUAGGUGAAACUCAGGGCAUGAUCAGGUUUUUGUUCUGAGACCUUCUUAAACUUGUUUAUCAGUGUGCUGCAAAGGCUUAUUUCAUAAAACUUUCAAAUUCAAAGCAUUCUAUACAAAACUAUAAAUAAAACUGAAGCCGAAGGCUAUGCUCUUUGUACACUUAGACUUUUUAACUGCAUUCUUUGUAGCAAUACUCUUCAGAAAGAUAGAAAUAAUUGAAUUUAAGGGAAUAGAAUUGUGUUUAAGAUGGUCUAAGUUUGAAUGCUGGAUAUAAGUAGAUAUUAUCUCUGCUUCCAGUCUACUAAUUUUCUUAAUUUAGAAAUAUAGCCAAUGAUCACAUUGUCUCUGACAAACUGGUCAAGAUCUUGCUAAGUAUAAGUACACAGACUGACUGGGCACUUCUCUUGAUCUAAAGAAAGUGGACAAUACAAUCCAUGUGAUGUGUAUUGUGCUUCGCUUUCUUCCCAGAAAAAUGACACAGGUAUGCUUGGGAUACCAAUGCAACGUAACAUCAGGGAAAUUACUUAGCAUCCAUACCAAUGAUUAAAUCUCAGUGAGAAUAUUUAAGGACUGUUCUUCCCCAUAAGCUACUUUUUGACAAAGUUGGAUGGAAUAUAUAAUUUACUUACCUUCAGGUAGUGAUUGUCUUGAUUCAUUUUUGACAGGAUCCUUCUGCUCUUUUGCUUACAACUUGCAAGAAAACAGUUAAGUGGUCCUAUGGGAGGAGUAAAAUUAUAGCUAAAUCCCUUUUUUUUUUUUUUUUUUGUAUGUGUGUUUGUGCAUGUAAAGCCUGCUGGUUAUGAGGCAGUAAUGCGGACAUACCAGUGCAUCUUCAGGAGAACGAUCUCAGGAUAUUUAAACUGAAGAUUAUAAUUACAGGGUGGCUAUAUCUGAAAUGGAAUAAUUCUAAAUCAUUUUCUAGCAGAUUUUCAAGAGUGGUUUUGCAAUGUUCAGAACACUGUCUAUUCUUUUUUUUUUUUUUGUCUGAUGGUGCCUUGGGUUUUGUUUCUAAGGUCAGUGUCUUUCAAAGAUUUGCUGCCAAACUAUUAAACUUUCUGACUCAUUUCUCUCUGAAGGAAUAAAAGAUAAAAUUCAAGGGUAGACUGUAGAAAGGCUAAAUUUCCAGAGAGCAAAGAGUAAUGAUGAAUUGCCUGUAAAAUGACACUUGUACUCUUCCCUCAGCAAUUUCACUCAACUGUCUGGAGGUUACUUCAGUUCCCCAAAACUAUCCAAAUAUCAAAAAAGGCCUGGAGGUAUAUGAUAUUUCAUGUCAACAGUGGAAGAAAAUGGAUUGACGUGAUUAGCUGCAUUUUAUAUCCAGCAAGAGUUUGCCAGGAGGAUUCACAAUGUUAUUGAUGAUCAAUUAAUCUUUUCUUUUUGAAAGCAUGGGAUGGGAAUGACCUGUUUAGGGUUGAUUUGCAGGAACAUAUAGGCAGUAAAUCCUCUUUUAGCUGCCAGUAUUUAGAUGUCACUAGCAUUCACAAAAAUCUCUACUCAGCUCUUGACUGACCAUGGAGGCAGCUCUCAGCAGUGAGGCUUUUGCUUGGGAAGGACCUAUAAAUAUUAUUCCACUGAAUAUAUGUGUAAUGAAUUGAUGACACUGCCAUAGUCCAUGCCUCCUGAGACUUGGCAGAGUUCAGCAACAGUUACAUCUGUAUCCAGAGGCUUUUCAUGUUGGUGGUAUAAUUUCCACCUCAUAUACAGUAACUCAUCUCUCAUCUGGAAGACAGAUGGAGAACAGUCCUCCCUGUGCUUUUGAAGUGGUGAUUUACAUGUAGAUCUUCCAUUUCUCAUGACAGUUUCUAAGGUCUGAUGCAGACAGUCUUCUAGAAGUAAUCCCAUUUCUCUGCCCUUCCCCUUGUUUUGGUUUAUGCAUUACUUUAAACAUUCCUUACAGCAAGUUUCCAGCUGACUUAAUUACUGUACAGUUGCUCUCACUUUGCCAUUAACCCAAAACAGGAAAGACAGAUGAAAGCUGUAUAAUCAGAGUGGGAUAAACGAGUUGCCUCUGCUUCUGAAAAAGAAAUGUAGAAAUGCAAAUAAUUAUUUGUUGCCCAACUUCUAUUGAGCCAGUUUUGUUGGGACUUGGAUUUAAGGGCUUAUUUGGUUGAGAAGGACAGAUUACUCCCUGAAAGCAAAGCUUUGUGAAAAACAGAAGAACAUUGUAAUUACAUGGCAAGACUGAUAUUUCCAAUUCAGUUACCCUGAGCAAGCCCAUUUUUAAUUACAUUUUCCAUAAUAUUUUACUAGACUUCUAUAGCCUUAGGAACAUCAUUUAAUAACUAGUGUUUAGAUACUAAACACUUUAUAGAUUGUUUACAGGAAGUUGUAUAAUAUUGUGGAAAGCAUAGUAAAAAUUUUAAAAUAAUGAUUCUAAAAUUUUAACCUGUGGGAAAAAAUCUGAAUUUGAUGUAACAAAACACUUUAAUUAGCUCUAAAGAAGUGAUGUUAACAGCAUAUGUACUCAUGGGUUAUGAAGUGGCAUAUUUGUGCUUUCAGAUUAUGGCAAAGAUUCAAUUGGCUAGGAUUUGAUUCUCAUAUCUCUAAUUCAAUAACUGAUCCCUAAAACUUGUAUCUGGUAUUAGGACUGAGAGUCAAAUAUUAGAAUAGAUAAUGGUUUGUGGGUUUUUUUUAAAUUGGUAAUUCUUAGAAAAUGUUCUAUUCAUUCACUGCUUUUGUUAUACUGCCUUUUUUGCAACUAUAAACUCAUAUUUUUCUGUGUCAUGCACAGCCUCAUCUUGCUUAGCAAAAAAUUAUACUGAUAUUAACUAGUUAUAAUUGAGUUUCCAAUGCAGUAGAAAGUGUAAAUCUUUUUGAAUCUCCCUUUUUCUAAGUUUUUGUAAACAAAAUUUCAAGAAAGAUCAUCUCUGAUAUAUAAAAGAGCAAAAAAGAAUUUGUAUACAAGGCUAGCUCCUUUGUGUCUAUGCAACUACUCCUAAAGGCUUCCCCAAGAGUGUUUUUAUCUUCUGGGUAUGAUUUAGAGUCAAGUAGAUUAAUUGUUUAACAUUGUCACUGCAUCUAAUGCAGGUCCUUCCAAAGACACUAAAUGUGCAGAAGCUGCAAUACUGUGAAGGGGAAGGUAAGAACGUCCAACCUGAAAGCUAAUGCUGUUGGUAAAAUAUUGUGUGUUAGUACUCCCUGAUGUAAAUUUAAGGCAAAUAUUAGGCUUAACAUAGAUCUCUAACUUUUUCUGUUUUCUUAUGAAAGAAAUGCAUUUCCUAUAUGAGAGGUGCAGAUGGCAGUGUUGAGUAGGUUACUGAAUGGUGUCCUUGCAGAAAAACUGACAAUUUAGCUUGCUUGAAGUAUAUUCUAAAGCUGUGUGACCGUCUCUCAUUAUUUAACCAGGUCAUCGACCACCUCAUUGUAUUACCUUAAAUAAUUAAGAGGGUAAAGCUUCUGCUAAUACAACAGAACAGCAAGGAUUUUGUACCUUGUAUAAAUUGAGUAUGAGUGAAGUGUUUGCCAGGCUGCAUUUUGAAUCUAGCUUUUUAUUUAAGCUAAAAUGGUGUAGUUCUGUGGAAUGCAUUGAGAUUAUGCAGAUUUCCUCUGCUGGGAAUCCAUACUUUUAAUUUCUUCCUAUAAUGGACACCUCUUUUAAACAGAAUUAUUUCGUAAUUAGAUAUUACUUGAUCUUAAAACCCUUAAAGGUACUGGGUAGCUUCUCAUAUGCUUAAAAUAAUGGGCUGGUGCAGUUGCAUGGCUUUUGCUUUGGGGUAACUUUCAGAGCUAUGUUUGGAUAAAGGACAGAUGAUUUUUAAAACAAGCAUCCACAUCUUACCUUCAAUUAGGUUAGGAUUAACAUCUCUAUCAUCACUAGGUACAGAUUCUCAUUCCGUUGAAGUUCCUCCUUGAGUAUUUUGUCUCCAGGUCACAAACAUGUAGACAAGAGGUCGGGUAAACCAGACAAUAGGGAAUGCCACGGUAUGUUAACAACACAUCUUUUCUGAUUUCUAGGUAUCUUUUUCAGUAUAACUGAAAUACCUGCCCUUCAUUUAAGAUUUACAGCCCCUAAUAUUCUCCCUUCUAUACAAACCAAGAGAACUUCAAGCUCUCCUCUUAUUGGUAUAUUCUAAUAUGAAAUUAGGUUCAUUUAUGGGCACAGCGCAUUCUUGCUGAGAUGGCCAAGAGUUUAUUUACUGGUUCUUCUGGGUAUGUUUGAAUUCAGACUUCUUUUUUAAUUAAAAUUUAUUCUAGUCAAAUGGAAGUCAUUUUCUGAAGGAAAAAUGAGAAACAUUUACCUUAUACAAAGGUGUUACCUUUGUAGUGAGUUUGAAUCCCUCUUCCAAAGUCUCAGAUUAUUACAAUAUAAAAUUGAAAUAAUUUAAUAACUUUUUUUAACAUAAGCAGUGCAUUUCCUCCAUUUUUGUCUUUGAAGUUGGCAGAGCCAAUUAUACUGAAGUAUUUCCAAGGUACUAAUUUUGAGUAAAGCCAAAAUGUAUCUGACAAGCUAAUGCAGGAAGGUACUGUUUGACUUUUAACAUAAACAGCAUCAUUUGCAUGUUUGAGAAACGAGUCUAAGCAAUUACAAAGGAAAAACUACAUCAGUUAAAGGAAAGUAUGUGUACAUCAAAAUCUUAAACUGCCAUGGUUCAGAGCUUUUUCCUUGUGAAAUCCACAGUUAAACUGGAAGUAUGUUAAUGCUAGCAGAGGUACAGAAUUUGAGGUUUUGUUCUUCAUUUUGUUUCUCUCUUUCAUUUCUUAGCCUAUUAUUCUUAUCUGAAGCAUCUGGUGAGUUGUUCUAGAGUGUCUUACCCACAGAUGAGGUCAAAGAAGAGCACUUAAUUCUAUCUCUUUGUCAGGAGAUUGUGCUAAGUUCAGCGUAAUCAUUUUGCCCUUCCAAGUAAAGGACCAGGAAAAUGAGAAAAGACAGUAGAGUCAUGAAAAUAAGUGUUCAGUGUUUAGUUCUAUUAUAUGAGAGGUGAGCAGAAAGGACAAGAAAAGGGUGAAUGUUUUCUGUUUACAUGAGGCACUACUGGUAAAACAUAAGCCUUUAGAUUCCUUAUCUGUGUUCUGUGGAGUACCUGAUAGCUGGGGAGAUUUGCACUGCAGAUCAAAAUGAUGUGAUUUCUGCAUGCAGUGUUCUUCCAGAUUAAGUUCUUGUUUUCCCUAAUAAUUGCAUCUGUUGGAUAACACAGUAAUUAAUGCAUUGUGACACUUGCAAACAAAAUCACUUAAUCACAGUUAUACAAAAAGCAGAGCCUUAUUCACAUCUGCAGAAAAGCUUCCUUACUCUGAUGUUUUAAAGUUGCAGUAAAUAUUCUUCAAGUUUCUUUACACUGAUGGAGUGAAAAAAAUGACCUGAUUACAUAUGAGAACGUGACUUACAGAAUCCCCUCAAACGCUCACAACUAGGGAAGUCACCUUAUGCAGAAUAAGAAAAUGCAACCGAAUAAGGACAAUAUUUUCUGUUUGUCUGUAUACUGAUGAUCUUUACUGUCACUUUUAUAUCUAGAUGACAAAUUUUUCUCUCAACUCCUCAGAGAUUUUUAUUUUUUUUAUUUUAUUUUUUUUUCCCUAAGGCACAGUAAGGGGAAGAAAUCUGUUAAUUGCCUGUGAAAAAUCAGUUAGUUCAUAGGUCAUUCUCUGUAUAAGUGGGAGCUUGGCUGAGGGGAGGACAUGCAUGCAUGAUAAGCUGAUAAAUGGGCAGAUGAAGCUGGCAGCUAUACCCUUAAAAGUAUGCUAGAAAAGAUGCAUAUGUUCAAGGAGAUGCUCUGGAAACUGUGAGUUUGUACUGCUUCAUUUGUUCUUGGAAAUUAAAAUGGAGAAGAUGUGAUGAGCAGCUUGAUAUGAUUAUGGUUUGUGGCAUGCCGGAGGACUUAAAAUCACUUGUGGCUGUGACCUUAACUGCUAAUGAGUGAAUGUUUCCCUUGGUUACACCUGUGCUGCUCCACUGAUUCCAUGGUUCUGUUCUAGCACAGUGGAGUUCAAGUGAAAUAGAGUACUUAAAAUUCAUUGCUGUAACUGAAAUGCUGGUCACACAGUAACUGUUUUUAGAGGAAAAUUAUAGGAAACAAAUACUUACGUUUUGUAUUGUUGUUUUGUAGUCUACUUUUCUUCCUCUUUUUAAGCUAAAAGGAGUCAGUUUAGAUGAAGCAAAGAAAUUCUUUACAAUAAGGGUGGUGAGGUGCUGGCACAGGCUGCCCAGGGAAGCCCUAUCCCCAGAAAUGCUCAGGGCUGGGCUGGUCGGGGCUUUGGGCAACCUGAUCUGUGCACUGGCAUGGACUGUGGAGCCCACUGAGAUCAUAUUUUUGCUAUGAGUCAAGAGCCUUGGAAGCUCUUGGUACUGAAUUUAAAUAUAUGAAGCUGAGGCUAUGACAGAUUUCUCUAUUCAUAUGGCUUCAUGAAUUCUAGCUGUACCAUGUCCCAUUUAAUCUUAAUUUCUUUCAAGAAGCCUUUAUUAAAAUUCUUGCCACUUAUAAGAAUAGGAAUGAAGAAAUUCUGUGGUUGGCAUCUUUUAAAUAAAACGUUUCUCCUUGCAUCUUUCAUGCCUGACACUCUCUAGUUUUCCCAUCUUCUAUAUAUCUUCUGUGUAUUUUGAUUUGUUAGAAGUCACUCUCCUCACCUGAGGUCAGAGACAUUUUCAGCCUUCUGUCUUAAACUGCUCCAAUGAAUUCUCUAAGAAUAAGCAUUGCAGUAACUUAACUAUAUGACCGAUGAGCUAUCAGCUCUUUGAGAGGAAUAAUACUUUGUAUCUGGGACAGCUAAAUCAAGGCAUUCAGGUAUGAAGUAUCUGUUUUAAUUGUGCAAUUAUAAUAAUUCACAUAAUUAUUUUCAGGGAAUUGUUACUAUGUUCUGAGACUAGACAUCCUGAGAGACUGACAACGGGAUACUAAAUUCUGCCACACAGAUUACACAGCUGAUUUCAUCCCAUAGACAUAGCUCAAGCUGUUUCACAUUGCUGCUUGGUCUCUGCAGUAGGAAUAAAAGCGUUUCUAGAGCUAAGCAUCUAAAAAUCUUGGUCCAUGUUAGUUGUUAGCUUUAGCCACUGUAGCAGAAGUAAGGUUAUUCUAAUAAGUUAGUAUGUAACAAGGCAGUAAUGAGACCAUCAUAUUUAAUUAGUUAUGAAUUAGUAUUGUGAGUGAAAAGCUGUUCCUGGCUCUGGAAGCAGCCACUCCGGGGCUAAACUGAAGCACAGCAGUAUGCAGGAGCUGCUGUUUCUCUUUGCUGUUCCUCUAAUAAAAGAGGAGCUUGAAUUCCAAUAUUGCCAGUUUGGCACUUUUAACAAAACAAACUUGGCACAAAGAACAUGGCGCUCUAAAAGGAGUUUGUUGUAUAAUGCAUUAUACACAGUUGGUGUUGUGGCUGAUAAGAGAGUCACUUGUUGUGUUAAUGCACUGUGCACCUAUCCUGGAUUACCGCUCAGCCCAUUUGAUCUGAUACAUUCUCUUAUCAGAUAAUUCCCCGCUGAAUCAAGUAUAUUUUCUGCCCACUCUUGGCUUUAAUAUAAUUAAUCAAAGUUACUCUCAGUUAAAUUUAUCAUGAUUCAAUCAGGUGGUUUGUUGGGCAGUGUAAUUAUUUGUAAGAUGUAUAAUUUAUAAAGUAAAACAUUCCUGUUUGUGACACCCUGGCUGAUCCCAUUUGGUGUGAAUGCCAGCAGGACUCUCCCCAGGCAGCACGUAACUGAGCUGCCCCAGGUUAGGGACUCUCAUCUACUCUGGGCAUCAUUAUCCUAUUUACAUUUUCUGUGUUAGUCUUUGAUUAAUGCUGCAGGAUCUGAAGCCAUUUAUGAGGAAAAAAAGGUGUUUGGAAAGGGAAAUUAUGCAAGGACUGCACUGCUGACAACUGUGUGUUCAAAUUCUGAUAAAGAAGCAACAGUGUAUUUCCUUACACUGGAAGCUUCACUACCUUUGCAGCUGUAGCCAAAGCAGUUCUAGCCUGUGAAAAUUUUAAACACAGCUAUCUCUGAGAGGCAGACUACUGCAAACAAAAUGCCCAUAGAUUUAUUUCAGUAUGGAGUCUGCAGCUGUAGUAGCCUCAAGCACAGGUGCAGAGCAUGUAGCAGCUGGAUCCGUGUGUGCUGGUGCACAGAUGCAGCAAACACGUUGUGUUUGGGAGUACAAAUUGCUUCUCUGAAUUUUGAAAGCAGCAGCUACAACUUCCUUUGCAAGACCUUGUAAGCAAAGGGAUUGUUCAGGAGCAGAAAUCUUCCAAAGACAUGAUAAAAAAGAGGAAUACACAAAGGGAUAAGUAACUGCCACCUGAACCCGAUUCUCAGGCACUGGCACAAAGAAGGCUAGACACAAAUCAGAGUGAGCUAGGCCUUUUACAGGAAAGAUGGAAUACAUCAGACUUUCAUACAUCCCCAAACAAACACCUAAAGGAAUUCAGGUAAUUUCUCUCAGAAAAGCUCUUACAAAUCAUGAAAAGCUAAAGAGUGCCACUCAUGAGAUCCUUAUGGCAACCUGAGUGGGCCCUUAACCUGCUCUGGGAGGGGUGUUCAUGUUGGCAGGGAUAGUGUUUCAGCUGUAUCCUUAGAAACUCCCUGCUCUAAGGGCUCCCAAUUAAGCUUUUUAUAUUUCUGAUCUGAACUCGUACAUUUAAAACUGUGUCACAGAAGUCAGUGUAGACAUCUACAUACAGAGAAGUGCCAGUCCCCCAGGUUUGUCUAUAGAACUGCAGCACAGCUGAGAGACUGACAUAGCUUUGAAAACCUGUGGGAAUUCGGAGUCUUUUAAAAUGGUUUGCACUGUAUGUGACGCACCCAUGACCAAAGCUAUCGAAUUCCCUUGUACAAUGAGUAGUAAUUACAGAUUCCAACUUUGUUUUAGUUCUCAAUGUUUCUAAAAGUUCUUUACAAAUAUAGUUGGCAUCUGGGAUUCUGAAAGCUGCUCUAACAAGCUAGGUGCUCAGUUCUCUUUAGCGAAGACUGGGCUUCCAUCUGCAGCCUGCUUUUUAUAAGAUUGUUUUUCACAACUAGAGAUUGAAAACAAAUUAUUCAGACAACAUGCUAGAAAGCCAAGAUUUUAUGAUACUCGAUCAAAGAAUAAGAUUAGUGACCAGAAAUGUUAAGCAGUAAGGUAUCAGAACAAUAUGAACGAGACUGUGUUUUUGGUAGUAAUUUUAGUCCACUGACAUAGUUUGUUAGGAAAAGUAAAAUCCAGGACCACCUCCUCCUUUCCAUGCUUGUGUUUGACACUGUUUCCCUCUCCCUGUGGGAGGUGGUGUGCUCCAACUGAUCCCACAUUGAAUUCUGAAGCAGGAAGGCCUCAUGCACAGGCUCCCGUUCCUCAGGCAGUGUGUAGUAGUACACCCCAGCCACCACAUGUCCUCUAUUGGUCCCGUCUCUGAUUUUCACCCCGGAGCUCUCAACCUGUUGCUCAGAGGCAGCUCUUUGCACUCUAUCCACCUCUUAACAUAGAGGACAACUGUCCUGCCCCUCUUUCCCUGCCGAUCACUUCUGGAAAGCUUGUUCUCCUCCAUAGUCAUCCUGCACUCACAUGAAUCAUCCCACCACGUUUCUCUAGCUGCAAUUAGGUCAUGGUUUGCUAACUGUGUUGUGGCUUCCAACUCUUCCUGCUUAUUUCCCAGGCUGCAUUACUUUCUCUCUGCCACUGCUCCCUCACACAGUUCCUACAGGGAAUAUUCUUCUGCUGCAGAGCAAGGUGCUCCCUGCUCAUACUGCUGUUCUUACUCUGUUCCUUGCAGACAGGUGGCAUUUUCCCUGUGCUAAACCCUUUGUCCAGCUGCACGAACACCAGCCUCUGAUUGGUUGAGCCGUGCUUUGCAGCAGAACCUUCUGGAACUGCCCGGAACCACCUGUUCCGGCUCUACCCUCUCCUCACACAGGCCCUGCAGCCAGCAGCUGCACAUGGACAGCCAGAACAAAAGCACACAGAUGGCUUCUCAGAGGCAGCUUAUGCAGUGUAGGGGUGGAGGAUCGCAGUGGGGUUCCUGCAGCACCUCACAGCCCUGCUUUGCCUGCCGGUGAAUCGCAGGGGCUGCUCUGCAUUGUGCCAUCGACCACCGGGGUGUCAGACUGCAGUGCACAGGUACAGUGUGUUGCACAACUUUAUCCUGUCAGGAUUUUUGGAAACCAAAAUCUUUUACCCCCUACUGGUGUAUGGGAUGCCUUUCUGCCUGUGGCUGUUCUGUAAAACGUCCCAGCCAGGCUGGAAAUAGAGCUUGUCCCCUCAGAAGACCACCGGAGGGCCAGCCAGCUCCUUACAACGGCCGCUACCACAGCGGCGCCGGGCCGUUGCCCUGUGGAACUUUCCCUCGCUUGCAGGCGUGGCCUUGGGAGUGUCGGCCCCGUGCCUGGAGUGCAGGGGAAGGGCCGGGCUUGCUCGGUGCCUGCUCUGAGGUUUGAACAUCGGUUGGGUCCCGCUUCCUAGGAAAAAUAAUGCAUUAUAAAUCAUGGACGUGUAGCCCAUCAGUAUGAAGUGAGGGUGCAGUGCAACCAAAACGUUCUGACUCAGCAUAUGAAAUACUUUCUUUAUCCUGAACUUUCUGUUUCCUGGACUGCAUGUUCACAGGACAGUACAGGGUAAGCAAAAUUCUUUCUAUUAUCCUCUCAUAAAGCCUAAGAGCAAUCAACCAGUUAUCCAUUAUAUCAACCUUUACUGGGCAUUUGCUUUUGAGGCAGUGACGUUUGAAUCAUGGGUGUUUGUUUAGGUAUUGGAUAGGGAGAUCAACGUUUCCUUCCAAUUCCAUUUUAGCUUUUUAUUUUAGUAACAAUAAUGUAAUGCAGUGAGGUUUCUUGUACACUGUUUUAAGCAUGCGAUGACCCUCUUUGGAUUUUAAUUAUCUUUGUCUUCAAUGCAAUUAGUCACAGUGGUGGUUUGCUACAAGAAAUGCGGUGGGCCACUCGGUAGAAUGCAGAAUUCCAUUUUUUUCUAGGGAGAAUACAGAGCAAACAUUUGGAUGUGUCUAAAAACCCAGAACUGACAAAGUUCAAGUGUGGAAAGUAUGCAUUGACCCAAUAUGCAGGAAAUGCUUAGGAAGAAAGAGUGGAAAUAUAGUUGUUGUUUAAGCUUACAAUGUAAAGAUGAGCAGAGUAUUGCUGUGUUUACAAUUGUAAUUGGUUUUUGUGACAUUGUGGUCAAAUGGAUAUCUGAGGGGUUCUGUGGAAUAAGAAGUGAAAAUGAUGAGAAAAAAGAACUGCAGUUUACAGUUUUAUGUGUGUAGUGUUCUUUCUUCUUUGGCAUUUUUGCUGAUGCUGGUGGAAGGGAUGGAAGGGAUAUUUGCAGCAGGUAGGUGAGGACUGUGAAAAGGAGCAGUGCAUUUUGUCAGGGUACUAGCACAGCUCAAAAUCUCUUGCCACAAACGCUUAUGAUGUUAAAACAGAUACAGAGCAAUUACCAUUUGCCAGGCAUUAAUUUUGCAAAAUUUAUGAAGUGGUUAACAGAAGUAACUGGAGUAAUAGAUGAAGUGGGGCGACAUCCCCAAACCUAUCAACACUAUUUACAGAUUUGGUGUGCCAGGUGAUCGUUCAGCAGUAAGUUGCAAUUCCUGUGCUUAUUUGUUUCUGUGAUAUGCAGCCAUCAGUGUGAGACCACAGGUGUUCCCUUACAGUUUCUCCUACUGUGCUGCCAGUACUUCCUUUUGCACACAAAAUACUCGAGAACUGUCUGAACUUGUAAAAAUCCAGUUGCAUGUCAUCAGCUGUCCUACAGUGAUGAAAAUGGUUCUGCUAAUAUUUGGUACAUAGGCUUGUGUUUCUAAUAAGGACAAUAGGGAAUGAUUUUAGGGAAUUAUAAACAGGAAACUGGAUGCUAGUUCUCAGUUUUGUUGGACUGUCAGUAUUGUACGGCCUGUUCAUACUUACAUAUCCCACUUUUAAAGGAGAGGAAUAUUGCUGUGUGAGGGUAGUGAAUGUGUUUGUUUGAAGCCAGAUACCUCAUUUAAUAAGAUAAAUACCAAGAAUAGAUGUGACAUCUUCAGAUCAUCCUUGUCAGGCUUGUGCUUAAAGGCUGACUUAUUUGUAAAACCAGUAUUCCACAACUCAUAGAAACACUGACAUGCAUACAUUCUUAAUGAAUGUUUAAAAAAACCCAUCAAAGCAAUAUUACAGUAUGGUAUAGAGUAUGGCAGUUGUUACAAUAGAUUUACAAUUUGCUCUGAAGCAAAAGGUUUCCAGUGAACUAAGCAGUAUCACUUUC